RNAcentral lists this ribosomal RNA (450 nucleotides) under uncultured bacterium. RNAcentral describes it as "partial 16S ribosomal RNA". It matches the Rfam family "Bacterial small subunit ribosomal RNA", at positions 29 to 507 of the family's 1533-position model. The record is from RNAcentral.
AUGAACGCUGGCGGCGUGCCUCACACCUGCAAGUCGAGCGGCAGCGAGGGGUGCUUGCACCCUGUCGGCGAGCGGCGGACGGCUGAGUAACGCGUGGGAACGUGCCCCAAAGUGAGGAAUAACUGCCCGAAAGGGUAGCUAAUACCGCAUAUUAUCUUCGGAUCAAAGGAUUUAUCCGCUUUGGGAGCGGCUCGCGUCGGAUUAGGUAGUUGGUGAGGUAAUGGCUCACCAAGCCGACGAUCCGUAGCUGGUCUGAGAGGAUGACCAGCCAGACUGGAACUGAGACACGGUCCAGACUCCUACGGGAGGCAGCAGUGAGGAAUCUUCCACAAUGGGCGAAAGCCUGAUGGAGCAACGCCGCGUGCAGGACGAAGGCCUUCGGGUUGUAAACUGCUUUUAUAAGUGAGGAAUAUGACGGUAACUUAUGAAUAAGGAUCGGCUAACUACGUG